RNAcentral lists this ribosomal RNA (468 nucleotides) under uncultured bacterium. Its description in RNAcentral is "partial 16S ribosomal RNA". It matches the Rfam family "Bacterial small subunit ribosomal RNA", at positions 28 to 507 of the family's 1533-position model. The record is from RNAcentral.
GACGAACGCUGGCGGCGUGCUUAACACAUGCCAGUCGAACGGAAAGGCCCUGCUUUUGUGGGGUGCUCGAGUGGCGAACGGGUGAGUAACACGUGAGUAACCUGCCCUUGACUUUGGGAUAACUUCAGGAAACUGGGGCUAAUACCGGAUAGGAGCUCCUGCUGCAUGGUGGGGGUUGGAAAGUUUCGGCGGUUGGGGAUGGACUCGCGGCUGAUCAGCUUGUUGGUGGGGUAGUGGCUUACCAAGGCUGUGACGGGUAGCCGGCCUGAGAGGGUGACCGGCCACAUUGGGACUGAGAUACGGCCCAGAGUCCUACGGGAGGCAGCAGUGGGGAAUAUUGCACAAUGGGCGGAAGCCUGAUGCAGCAACGCCGCGUGCGGGAUGACGGCCUUCGGGUUGUAAACCGCUUUCGCCUGUGACGAAGCGUGAGUGACGGUAAUGGGUAAAGAAGCACCGGCUAACUACGUG